GCCCUCGUGGAUCAACGGUAGAUCGUCCUCAAUUCAUGGAUGUUGAACACUAUACGUGGAGGAAGGCGCGGGUUCGAGUCCCACUGGGGGCA
Molecule: non-coding RNA, 92 nt
Organism: Mycena latifolia
Lineage: Eukaryota; Fungi; Basidiomycota; Agaricomycetes; Agaricales; Mycenaceae
Source: the annotation of a GenBank genome assembly